Molecule: long non-coding RNA, 420 nt
Filed under: Phoenix dactylifera (date palm)
Lineage: Eukaryota; Viridiplantae; Streptophyta; Magnoliopsida; Arecales; Arecaceae
Description: long non-coding RNA (PDAC_LNC020895)
Source: RNAcentral
UGUUGGAUCCAUCAAUCAAAUAAAAUAGAUCGUUCCUAUGAGAAGAUCCAAUCAAGAAUUUCAUUAUAUCCCUUUCUUCUAAAAUCGAAUAUUUUAGUAUAGUAUCUCAUAGGGAUAAAUGAUACGGAUACAGUAUAGAAAAAAAACUAAAUAAAGCUAAUAAAAGAUACUUUCGAAUGACUAUAAGAUAUCAUCAGAAUGGAUCUUAUUAAUUCUAAUGAGUUAUCUUGUGAUUUGAAGUUCAAGUAAUAAGAUAUUAUGUUCCAUGGAAGUGGAUCCGUAUGGACACUUAUACAUUCAGAUAUAAAUACACUAGGUUGCACAAAAAAUCAUUUUUUCAUCACGCCGGUAAAGGAUUUUCCAAGAUAAAAAAGGGUCCGUGGGGCACCUAAUCGUUAUGUCAUAAUAGAUCCGAACACU